RNAcentral lists this ribosomal RNA (429 nucleotides) under uncultured bacterium. RNAcentral's name for it is "bacterial SSU rRNA". It matches the Rfam family "Bacterial small subunit ribosomal RNA", at positions 355 to 775 of the family's 1533-position model. The record is from RNAcentral.
UGGGGAAUCUUGCGCAAUGGGCGAAAGCCUGACGCAGCAACGCCGCGUGAGGGAAGACGGCCCUAGGGUUGUAAACCUCUUUCAGCAGGGACGAAGCUUCCAGGGUGAAUAGCCCUGUGGAGUGACGGUACCUGCAGAAGAAGCCCCGGCUAACUACGUGCCAGCAGCCGCGGUAAUACGUAGGGGGCAAGCGUUGUCCGGAAUCAUUGGGCGUAAAGCGCGUGUAGGCGGCUCGGAAAGUCUGGUGUGAAAACUUGAGGCUCAACCUCAAGGGUGUCGCUGGAUACUAUCGAGCUCGAGUCCGGAAGAGGAGAGUGGAAUUCCUGGUGUAGCGGUGGAAUGCGCAGAUAUCAGGAGGAACACCAAUGGCGAAGGCAGCUCUCUGGUACGUGACUGACGCUGAGACGCGAAAGCGUGGGGAGCGAACAG